Molecule: ribosomal RNA, 505 nt
Filed under: uncultured bacterium
Lineage: Bacteria
Description: partial 16S ribosomal RNA
Rfam family: Bacterial small subunit ribosomal RNA
Source: RNAcentral
GACGAACGCUGGCGGCGUGCCUAAUACAUGCAAGUAGAACGCACCGUUUAUACCGUGUCUCGCUCCACUAUAUACUGCGAGUUGCGAACGCGUGAGUAUCGCGUAGGUAACCUGCCUGGUAGCCUGGGAUAACUUUUUGUAACGAUAGCUAAUACUUCAUACUAUUGAUUAUUGCAUGAUAAUUUAUUGAAAGUUGUUAUUGCAUCACUACCCGAUGGACCUGUGUUGUAUUAGCUAGUAGGUGAGGUAACGGCCCACCUAGGCGACGAUACAUAGCCGACCAGAGAGGGUAAUAGGCCACACUGGGACGGAGACACGGCCCAGACUACUGCGGGAGGCAGAAGGAGGGGAUCCUCGGGAAUGGAAGAAAGGCUGAACAAGCAACGCCGCGUGAGAGAAGAAGGUAGUAGGAUCGUAAAGCUCUGUUGUAAGAGAAGAACGGGAGGGAGAGUGGAAAGUGCACACUGUGACGGUAUCUUACCAGAAAGGGACGGCUAACUACGUG